Molecule: ribosomal RNA, 170 nt
Filed under: uncultured bacterium
Lineage: Bacteria
Description: partial 16S ribosomal RNA
Rfam family: Bacterial small subunit ribosomal RNA
Source: RNAcentral
CCUACGGGAGGCAGCAGUCGGGAAUAUUGCGCAAUGGAGGAAACUCUGACGCAGUGAUGCCGCGUAUAGGAUGAAGGUUUUCGGAUUGUAAACUAUUGUCGUUAGGGAAGAUAAAAGACAGUACCUAAGGAGGAAGCUCCGGCUAACUACGUGCCAGCAGCCGCGGUAAU